UGCUACACAUACCUCUGUGAGGUGACUGCCACUCCUCUCAUCAAGAGGGGGUCUAUUUCCUCACUCUGCAAUUCUGGGAUGGCAGAGCAAAUUGAAUUGAGCAAUGGAUGGCAGCAGAAUGCCAGUGUGAGAUGUCCAAGCCUCGUCUCAAGAGGCUUUACCUUGUCUUCUCUUGGAACCCUGGGACUACCAGGGGAAGAAGCCAGGGACAGGCUGUUGGCCACAUGAAAGAGGCCCAGCUGACAGCUAGUAUCAACCCUCAAUUGGGAUAAUAAGAUUCUCCUGGCUCAUUGUGUCCCAAUAAAGCUGCCAGGGGCCUGCAACCCAUGAGUUACCCCAGGAGAGACUUGAAGAAUCAUGAAGAAAUAGUCAUUUGAAGCCGCUGGGUUUGGGGAGGGCUGGUGACAGCAUAGUUAACAGAGCAUCACCUGAGAGCCUUUCAAAAAUGCAGCUCUCAGGCCCCAGUCCUUACUGAAUCCUAAUACAUAUUUUAACAAGAUUCCCAGGCAUUACAGUCUCCACCAACAAGGCAGCACGGCAGACACUGGGGCUCCAUGUG
This 559-nucleotide long non-coding RNA is filed under the name Marmota monax (woodchuck). Lineage: Eukaryota; Metazoa; Chordata; Mammalia; Rodentia; Sciuridae. The record is from RNAcentral.